GCAUAAAUUACGUUUUUGAUCGAUUUUGCAGGUUUUCGGUUCGUUAGUUGGUUCUAUUUGACGGUUGUUAGGUUUUACUUGUUCGAAAUUCGUCUAAUUGGUAUUGUUUCGAUCCAUGAUGUUGUGUAAUGCUGUGUUCUGCAAGAUAUGUGUGAAAGUAAUCACUGUACAUGUAAGGAAGAAGAUGUAAUUGGUUGUAUGCUUCGACUUUAGUUUGCAAAUGCUUGAGAUGCAAUUAGGGUCGGGAUGGUUGCCGCCUGAGGGUUGAGCUUGCUCAUGGUGGUUGUGGUAGCUAGGUGACGGUCGUGGUAGACUGGUAGCUAUUUGGGCUCCACUAGAGGUAGGCACAACUACACAGGUGCAAGAGAAUAAUAAUGUUGUUUUUUUUUUUACUUUAUUUUGUGCUAUAUGUAAUCUAUCAUAGUUGCUACAUUUGAGGUGGUGAACGUGGCCGAGGUGGUGGGAGUUUUGGCAUUUCACAACAUUCCGAGUAUUGAGGUCAGAACUGAGAUAUACAUUUAUAACAUAAUUAUUAAUUAUAGAGGUGGCAAAACGAGUGGGUUGGGUAAUUGACAAAAAUGGGUUCGAGUCAAAGUGGAUCUUAAGGUAACAUUAUCUUUUAAUGCUUGUAGCUUUUUAUUUAUCCAUUGCCUUAAUAACUGGAAUAAAAAUAUACAGGAAGGCAAGGUCAGAAAGCAUUACAUGUAUAGAACCCAAUUAUCUUUAAGUAUUAAAAUCCGGCUAAAAGUGGAAACUUUUAUCAGCAUGUAUAUAAAUUUUGGCUGCAGAGGUGAAUGAGUAUGAUAUCACAAUAUCACAUAAAGCUGCCUAUUUUUUUUUUUUUCAAAUCACAUAACUAAACAUAUACCCUAGGGUAGGCUGUUCCUCCUGGCGUGACCUGAACACGACGAAAAUACUCAGGUUUGUUUUAGGUUAGCAAAAACUGACCCGUUUAAAAAAAGUGUGGUGUUUGAGUUGACGCGCUACAUUAACGGGCCGUGUUCGAAUUGACAUGUUUAAAAAUGGGCUAACCCAUUAAUCUCUUUCAUUUAAGCGUUUUAAAAUAAAAAUUAAAUUUAAUGUUCGUAACGAAAAAUUGUUACAUGCUUAAUUUACAUUCGUAAUAUACUAAAAUUGAUCGUGUUAUAAUUCCCGAAUUCUAGAUAAAAUUUUAGCAAAAUGAGUUAAACGAUCGUGUUCGGAAUGACCCGGAUUCUGUAUAUCUGGGAUAGGGUUGAAAAUAAAAAAAAAUAGGUUGUGUUCAGGUUCCAAUAUUCAACCCGGUAGGAUUGACACCUCUAACAUACGCAUGUUACUAUUCAUCUUCCCCAAUUAGAUUUAGGGUUACAAACGGCAAACUAUAUCUCAAAUCACCAUCUCAAAAUUUCAGCUUCGAUUGACAAAUGAAAAUGUGUGUAGUAAAAUAAAGGUUUGAGUAUCUACAAAAUAGAAUAUAAAUUCUUGGCACCUGUGAUAUAACAGAUUCUUCUCCCAAACGCUUAGACCGUACGAUAAUACACCAACAAAGUUAAGAAACUAACUUUGAAUAGCAGUGGUGUAGACAUUAUAUAAAAGAAUCACACUUGUAAGUGAGUGUUUCUUAGUUCAUAACUUCAUAUUAUUCUAAAGAACAUAUGAAAUCAAACAUCUUUUAAUAUUCAUAUAGAGCAAUAAAUGAGUUCAACAAUUAUAUAUGGAUCAAUAUGAUAAUCUAAUAAUGAGUUCUACUACAACUAACAUAAUAACUACAACCCUUUGUUCAGCGACAAAUAUUAUCAUCCAAAACUCAAGCAAUUUACCUUUCCUAACUCACAUAGUGGCGGACAUACAAUGUACUAAGGGGUAGCCCCCGCAACCCCUUAACCGCUCGUUGGUAGUGUAAAAAUUUAUUUUUGGACGUUUUUUCGAUUUAGUUACCCCUUAAAAAAUUAUGUUACCCCUCUUUGAUGACUUGUGACUUUUGCGUUACUUUUUUAUUUCAUUGUACUUUACUAAUUUCAUUAGUACUUGAAUGUUUAUUUAUUUCAAAGGAUUGUUUCAGCAAUUUUAAGUUGUGUAUUUGUGUGUUAGUCUACCCGUGAAGUUCGCGGGUUCUUAAACUAGUCUAUAUGACUUAUAUGUCAUGUUAGUAGUGUUUUGAUACUUGUGUGAUCAUAAAAAGUUGGUAAUAGGAAGAAGGCAUUUGGUCA
Molecule: long non-coding RNA, 2189 nt
Organism: Helianthus annuus (common sunflower)
Lineage: Eukaryota; Viridiplantae; Streptophyta; Magnoliopsida; Asterales; Asteraceae
Exons: 3
Source: RefSeq, a predicted model, not a curated record